AGAAACGAUAGCGUUUAAACAAUGAUUUGAUUUCUUCUUCGUCGUCGUGAUACCAUGGAUCGACUGUUUUGCUGAAUGCCUGAUAUCUUCUUCUUCGACGCCGUUUAUACCAUGGUCCGACUGUGUUGCUGAUCCUAGUCAUGGCUCUCUCUACCAAUCUAAGCAGAUCCGACGAUGAUGUUAGCCCCAUCGAUGGUCGAUCGGUUGGGGUGGAUUUCUUCUUCUUCGAUCCACCAGAAUAUGUUCAUCAGAUCCGACGAUAAUGAGUUUCUUCUUCUUCUACUUUUCGUUCCCAUAAAUUGGAGGAGAUCCGAGGGAGAAAAAUAUGAGUGCUCCGGUGAAAAAGGAGAGCUAUUUUUGUGUGGUAAAAAGUUGUGUAACAUUAAUUCUAGAGAUGAUAAGGUAGUAUGUAGAGAACAUAAUUUGUAUUCGAUUUUGUGUGUCACAUUUUAUUUUCAGUGAACUGAGUGUAUUUUAACCGAGUUUUAUCGGCUAAGAUGAUAUCAAAUUAGACCA
This is a long non-coding RNA of Camelina sativa (false flax), 516 nucleotides long. RefSeq lists it as uncharacterized. NCBI's taxonomy places the organism in Eukaryota, Viridiplantae, Streptophyta, Magnoliopsida, Brassicales, Brassicaceae. The record is from RefSeq and is a predicted model, not a curated record.